Molecule: long non-coding RNA, 587 nt
Filed under: Cricetulus griseus (Chinese hamster)
Lineage: Eukaryota; Metazoa; Chordata; Mammalia; Rodentia; Cricetidae
Description: lncRNA (ENSCGRG00015034624.1)
Source: RNAcentral
ACAUCAGCCUAGGCCGUGAAGGAGAGCCUGCCAAGCAGACUGAAUCAACAGUUGAAGAAAGGCUUUGAUGAGGGGGAGACACCAGGAGCCAAACAGACAGACAGAGAUGGAGGAAGCAGGAAAGCAGGACAUACAGAAUGAAAGCAAGGAAGCACUCUGUUGGCCUGUGUAUGACUCAUGAAGAACUGAGCAGUCACGCAUUGGAAGAAGCAUUGGAAUCAAUUCCCAGCCAGGAUGUCAAAGUGCAGAGUCCUUGUUUUUACGACCUCCACCCAGCUGUCAUUGCACUUGACCAACAUGGUGAAACCAUAACCUUGAUUAAAUAUUCACUGUGCUGAAGCCAGCUAAGGACUUCCCUGAUUACAUGUGUGUAGGCGGAAUCAAAUAACUCAGACAAAAUGGCCAGUUCCAUUGUAGUUUUGAGGUCCACGGUUCUUGUUAGCAUCUGAACUUUUCACCUUUUCUGUUUUCCAGCUUUUAAAAUAUUUUGACAACUUUGUAAUAACUAUCUUCAAACACAUGCACUCUUUAUUCAGCAGUUGCCUAAAAUUGCUAGGCUGGAUAAUGAACGGCCUUUCGUGAAGUCC